Drosophila montana is the source of this 693-nucleotide long non-coding RNA. RefSeq lists it as uncharacterized. Lineage: Eukaryota; Metazoa; Arthropoda; Insecta; Diptera; Drosophilidae. The transcript has 2 exons. The record is from RefSeq and is a predicted model, not a curated record.
UUAUCAAAAAAAAUAACAAUGUUAACUAUUUCCUAAUACCUAUGGUUCUUUUUUUAGAAUGCGAAAAUGUUUCAUAUUUAGCAAGAAAUGCGUAGUCUGAACGAAAACAUAUACAUAAUUAACAUAUUGAGACAAAUUAAAAGAAAAAAAAAACCAAAGCUUUAAUUACCUAACACUCGUAUACUACACUCAGCGUUAGUUAAAAAAUAAUUAAAAACGAUUUUUAAUAAUUAUAUACUAUGAUAAAUUAUACAAAAAAUACAAGAAAACUAAUACGUUAGGUAACUUAACAUACACGCUUUAAGAAAGGAAAAGAAAAUUAAAAGUGAAUUUCCAACUAAAAACAAAUUUAGCGCAACUACUGAUAAUAAGCAGAAUAUAUUUAAAUCAAUACUACUUGGACUGCACUGUCUGCCUUACAAUUGAUAGAAACCCGUAGUUGGACACAAAAUCCAAAAAGUAAAAGAAAAAAAAACUAAAGUACGCGAAUUUAUGCAAUGAAUUCAAGUUAUAAUUUUAAAAUAAAGUAAACAAAUAACAGCCAAGACUUAAAUCCGUAACGUUUUUGUGACAGCGUUGCCAGAUGACAAAAUCAAUGUUGGGCAACGCAGACUGGAAAGUAACGGGAAAAUACACACAACACCUUGCCUUAAAAAUGGUUCGUACAGUUUUUAUUAAAUCGAACAAAAAUUA